Molecule: ribosomal RNA, 1245 nt
Filed under: metagenome
Description: bacterial LSU rRNA
Rfam family: Bacterial large subunit ribosomal RNA
Source: RNAcentral
UGAAUACGAGAUGCCACGGCGUCGAAGCAGUCUAUGUCAUACUUCCAAGAAAAGCUUGCACUGUCAUAAACAAAUAAUGCCUGUACCAUAACCGACACAGGUGGGUAGGUAGAGUAUACUAAGGGGCGCGAGAUAACUCUCUCUAAGGAACUCGGCAAAAUGACUCCGUAACUUCGGGAGAAGGAGUGCCUUAUUUAUAAGGUUGCAAUAACAAGACCCAAGCAACUGUUUAUCAAAAACACAGGUCUCCGCUAAGUCGUAAGACGAUGUAUGGGGGCUGACGCCUGCCCAGUGCCAGAAGGUUAAAGAAGUUGGUUAGCAUUAGCGAAGCUGACGACUGAAGCCCUGGUGAACGGCGGCCGUAACGAUAACGGUCCUAAGGUAGCGAAAUUCCUUGUCGGGUAAGUUCCGACCCGCACGAAAGGCGUAAUGAUUUGGGUACUGUCUCAGAGAGGGACUCGGUGAAAUAGACUUGUCUGUGAAGAUGCGGACUACCUGCACCUGGACAGAAAGACCCUAUGAAGCUUUACUGUAACCUGAAAUUGAAAUUGGACUUUAUUUGCGCAGUAUAGGUGGGAGGCUUUGAAGAUAUUCUUGCGGGAAUGUUGGAGCCAUCAGUGAGAUACCACUCUUGUAAUGUUAGAUUUCUAACUUUGUAUCAUUAUCUGGUCAAAGAACAGUUUCAGGCGGGCAGUUUGACUGGGGCGGUCGCCUCCUAAACGGUAACGGAGGCGCACAAAGGUUUCCUCUGAACGGGUAGAAAUCGUAUCUAGAGUGUAAAGGCAUAAGGAAGCUUGACUGUGAGACCUACAAGUCGAGCAGGGACGAAAGUCGGUCUUAGUGAUCUGACGGUGCUGAGUGGAAAGGCCGUCACUCAACGGAUAAAAGUUACUCUAAGGAUAACAGGCUGAUCUCCCCCAAGAGUUCACAUCGACGGGGAGGUUUGGCACCUCGAUGUCGGCUCAUCGCAUCCUGGGGCGGUAGUACGUCCCAAGGGUUGGGCUGUUCGCCCAUGAAAGCGGUACGCGAGCUGGGUUCAGAACGUCGUGAGACAGUUCGGUCCAUAUCCGGUGUAGGCGUUAGAAUAUUGAGAGGAGCCUUCUCUAGUACGAGAGGACCGAGAAGGACACACCUCUGGUGUACCAGUUAUCGUGCCAACGGUAAACGCUGGGUAGCUAUGUGUGGAGCGGAUAACCGCUGAAAGCAUCUAAGUGGGAAGCCCACCUCAAGAUAAGUAUUCUCACC